Nematostella vectensis (starlet sea anemone) is the source of this 1339-nucleotide long non-coding RNA. RefSeq lists it as uncharacterized. NCBI's taxonomy places the organism in Eukaryota, Metazoa, Cnidaria, Anthozoa, Actiniaria, Edwardsiidae. The record is from RefSeq and is a predicted model, not a curated record. The transcript is spliced from 4 exons.
GAAGAUAAGAUCCGCCACGGCUAGAUUCAUGAUGUACAAAUCGUUUACGGUCCGACGCGAAUGCUUUCCGUAGACGACGAUUAAAACGAGAGCGUUCCCUAGUAAGCCGACAAGAAACUUAAAUUCUGCGAAAACAAACGCCAAUACCCCGAAGCAGACACAACAUAGAACGACAGGUUUAGAACGACAGGUUCGAAAAGCCGGAUUCAAGUGACGGAAGUUUUAGAGUUCUAUGGCGAGUGUAUUUGCCUAGAUGUUGGCUGUGUCCCUUGCAAAGUGAUUAAAGUAAUAUAUCUGCAGAAAUAAAGAUAAGUAUUGAUAUAACGUGUUAUUGGAGCGUGUUUGAAGUUGAAGUAGCAAGUCAAUAUCAAACGCGCCAUUCGGUACACAUAGCAUCUGAUUGCUUUAUGCUGGGUGUGACAAGACCCCGAUCCUUGACGCUCAGAACCACAUUUACUAUAACUAUGACAUAAACAAGUUUCUGUAGUCAAAGGCAUAUUUUUUUUCUGUUAUGUCUUCCGCCUAUGUGGAUAACUUUCCUGUGUGCGAACCGACAAAACAUAAACACGAAUAUAAGAACGUACGCAAAUUGCUCGCGGUUCAUCGACUUCAGCUUUUGCUUUUAUCUCGCCGGUUCACACACAAUAUUAUUCUGAUUUUUGUUUCUUCUCAUAAUAUAGUGUGAACUGGACCUAACCAAGAACACAGUUAUCCAGACAUGCAACCGAUAUAUACGGGGAGUUUGCCGCAAUCUCUGCAAACUGCUGCUAGAGGAGAAAACUGCUUAUGAUCAGUACAUUCAGCUGAAUAAAUAAACUCCUUCCGAAGGCUGCGGAAGGACGUUUGUCGAUAAUUGAUGAAUAAACAUCCGGCGUCAAAAUUUUUACUCCACUAAAAAGAAUGACUUACGAUGGACAGUCCCAGUCACCAGAACGAUCUCCACCUCCUCCGCCGCCGCCACCACCACCUCCUCUGCCGCCACCACCUCUGCUACCACGGAAACCACCACGUUCAAAGCCACCACGCCCUGGGAAAAUACAUAAUAUAAUAUAGAAAAUAUCAUACUUUGUAUCUAGCGAUAGACACUAGGUGUCCACACCAGCAUGUGUCACGACACUAGUAAGUAUACAUAAUCAAAUGGUUGCGGAUUCAAUUUGGAAAUAAUAUGCACAAGAGAGUUUCUCAAUAUGCAUGAGAAUCGCCAAUGCAAUUUGAGCUUUUGAAAAACUCACGUGUGGAAAUUAAUUUUAAAUUGGACAAAUGAACAAUUGACACUGUACAAUAGCCUUUUUGACAAUAUACAUGGCAAAAUUAAAAAACUAUAGACACGCCAAACAAA